This 497-nucleotide ribosomal RNA is filed under the name uncultured bacterium. Its description in RNAcentral is "partial 16S ribosomal RNA". It matches the Rfam family "Bacterial small subunit ribosomal RNA", at positions 28 to 507 of the family's 1533-position model. The record is from RNAcentral.
GAUGAACGCUGGCGGCGUGCCUAAUACAUGCAAGUCGAGCGAACGGACGAGAAGCUUGCUUCUCUGAUGUUAGCGGCGGACGGGUGAGUAACACGUGGAUAACCUACCUAUAAGACUGGGAUAACUUCGGGAAACCGGAGCUAAUACCGGAUGAUAUUUUGAACCGCAUGGUUCAAAAGUGAAAGACGGUCUUGCUGUCACUUAUAGAUGGAUCCGCGCUGCAUUAGCUAGUUGGUAAGGUAACGGCUUACCAAGGCAACGAUGCAUAGCCGACCUGAGAGGGUGAUCUGCCACACUGGAACUGGGACACGGUCCAGACUCCUACGAGAGGCAGCAGUAGGGAGUCUUCCACAAGGGGCGAAAGCCUGACAGAGCAACGCCGCGUGAGUGAUGAAGGUCUUCGGAUCGUAAAACUCUGUUAUUAGGGAAGAACAUAUGUGUAAGUAACUGUGCACAUCUUGACGGUACCUAAUCAGAAAGCCACGGCUAACUACGUG